GACGAACGCUGGCGGCGUGCCUAAUACAUGCAAGUAGAACGCACAGUUUAUACCGUAGCUUGCUACACCAUAGACUGUGAGUUGCGAACGGGUGAGUAACGCGUAGGUAACCUGCCUGGUAGCGGGGGAUAACUAUUGGAAACGAUAGCUAAUACCGCAUAAUAUUGAUUAUUGCAUGAUAAUUGAUUGAAAGAUGCUAUUGCAUCACUACCAGAUGGACCUGCGUUGUAUUAGCUAGUAGGUGAGGUAACGGCUCACCUAGGCGACGAUACAUAGCCGACCUGAGAGGGUGAUCGGCCACACUGGGACUGAGACACGGCCCAGACUCCUACGGGAGGCAGCAGUAGGGAAUCUUCGGCAAUGGACGAAAGUCUGACCGAGCAACGCCGCGUGAGUGAAGAAGGGUUUCGGAUCGUAAAGCUCUGUUGUAAGAGAAGAACGGGUGUGAGAGUGGAAAGUUCACACUGUGGCGGUAUCUUACCAGAAAGGGACGGCUAACUACGUG
Molecule: ribosomal RNA, 505 nt
Filed under: uncultured bacterium
Lineage: Bacteria
Description: partial 16S ribosomal RNA
Rfam family: Bacterial small subunit ribosomal RNA
Source: RNAcentral